UACGUAGGGCGCAAGCGUUAUCCGGAAUUAUUGGGCGUAAAGAGCUCGUAGGCGGUUUGUCGCGUCUGCCGUGAAAGUCCGGGGCUCAACUCCGGAUCUGCGGUGGGUACGGGCAGACUAGAGUGAUGUAGGGGAGACUGGAAUUCCUGGUGUAGCGGUGAAAUGCGCAGAUAUCAGGAGGAACACCGAUGGCGAAGGCAGGUCUCUGGGCAGUUUAGCUGACACUGAGGCGCGACAGCGUGGGGAGCAAACAGG
RNAcentral lists this ribosomal RNA (255 nucleotides) under uncultured bacterium. Its description in RNAcentral is "partial 16S ribosomal RNA". It matches the Rfam family "Bacterial small subunit ribosomal RNA", at positions 524 to 776 of the family's 1533-position model. The record is from RNAcentral.